GACGAACGCUGGCGGCGUGCUUAACACAUGCAAGUCGAGCGGUAAGGCCUCUUCGGGGGUACACGAGCGGCGAACGGGGGAGUAACACGUGGGUGACCUGCCCUCAGCUCUGGGAUAAGCCUGGGAAACGGGGUCUAAUACCGGAUAUGACCUUUCCUCGCAUGGGGAUUGGUGGAAAGUUUUUUCGGCUCGGGAUGGGCCGGCGGCCUAGCAGCGUGUUGGUGGGGUGAUGGCCUACCAAGGCGACGACGGGUAGCCGGCCUGAGAGGGCGACCGGCCACCCUGGAACUGAGGCACGGGCCAGACUCCUACGGGAGGGGGCAGUGGGGAAUAGUGCGCAAGCGGCGGAAGCCUGACGGGGCGACGCCGCGUGGGGGAUGACGGCCUUCGAGUUGUAAACCUCUUUCGACCCCGGCGCAUUUGGACGGUAGGGGUAGAAGAAGCACCGGCCAACUACGUG
Molecule: ribosomal RNA, 460 nt
Filed under: uncultured bacterium
Lineage: Bacteria
Description: partial 16S ribosomal RNA
Rfam family: Bacterial small subunit ribosomal RNA
Source: RNAcentral